RNAcentral lists this long non-coding RNA (1475 nucleotides) under Gallus gallus (chicken). Its description in RNAcentral is "lncRNA (ENSGALG00010003667.1)". The record is from RNAcentral. Lineage: Eukaryota; Metazoa; Chordata; Aves; Galliformes; Phasianidae.
CCAUUUUCAGAAAGCAUUAAGCAUCCUGAAAUCUGUACCUUGGAGAGCUUAGCCCAAUUAGGACUAUGUUUAUAAAGCAAUUUGGGCUACACAGAGAUUGAUUUACUCAAAAAGGGAAUUCAAAAGUGCCUUGACACUUGUCUCCCGUGGAUAUGAGCAUCUGUUCUGAAGUGUAACUGUACUCUCAUAACAAUUCCAAGGGUAAUAACUGCAUUUCCUGAAUAGAGCAAAUCCAGGUCCUUCUGUGCGUCCUGUAGGAUUGUCAGCUUUCCCUAAAUACACAAUUAAUUCUGCCAGUAACAGUAGCAGACACUUAUAUGCCCACACAGGGAGUUGUGUUACAUAUGACUUGCCACUGCAUUUAUUUUUCAGUGUUUUAAAUGAGGACAGGGGGAGGUAAAGCAGCUCACUGGACUGAAUGACCCGUCCUGUAUUCCAGGUGCACUUGUGAUGAUUAGUGCCAAAAAACAGGCAGCAGAAGGAGGCCCUUUUAUAGUCAGCUAAUAGAAAGUCCCUGGUCUAAGCAUGAAGAAGACAGUCUAGAUUUGAAAACAAGGAGCUGAGUUUUACUUCCUCUUUUCUUCAACUAAAAUGUGCCGUCUGAACCAAUCUACAAGCUGGGUCAGCCUUUAAGUUGAACAGGGUUUGACUGAGAGCCUGCAGUUAUGUUCAGUUUAGUGAAGAGUUGUACUGGGAGGCAUUAUGUAUUCAGGGUUCUGGUACAGGAUGACUCCACAUGGCAUUUCUGAAAUGCUGAUAGCCACAGGUAGUAGCUGCGGAACUGGUUCUUGUUCAGCACUACUGUCAGUGCUCCCAUUCUUGGAAUAGUUUGGCUGCAAGUGCCCAGAGGACUGUUCUUGUUCCACUCCUGCUUUUCUGCUUUGUAUUUUGAGCAAACGUUCUUUCUGGGUAACUGCAGGUGGGAAGGUCCCCUGAUUUUCUCCAGGAGCUGCAGGAUACUCAGGCAGAAAUGGACACAGGAAUUGCUACCAGUGAGAAAAAGCUCUGCUCAAAGGAAAAGUCCUGCUGAGAUGGUGGAUGGACUCAGCUCCUGCUCAGCUGUUGUGAGCAAUCACUCUGGCUGCAGGGGAGAAGUAAGACUCCGUAAGCACCUGCCACAAAAGAAUAGGUGUAAACUUACCACUGAACAAGACAAAACUACUGUGCUACAUGGCUUUGACUACCAUUCACACUGAGCAGAACUCUUCUAAUCUGCAAAUACUGCAAAAUAAAAAGUGCAGAAGAAACCCUUGGGUCCAGUACCAAACCCUAAUGAAGACUACCAUCAAUUCAAUAAGCUCAGUAUGACACUUUCUUAAUGACUUUAUGCCCUUCGUCAUAAUGCAGCCACAAAACGAAGUGAUAUUCUGAGUGCAGCAAGAAGAUUAAUUCCAACUCUGCGUGCUAAGAGAAAAAUCCACGGCUCUGUCAUUGUGUAAACAAAAAAUGUAAAUAAAGGAAAAAUUAAGAUGUUU